AGAGUUUGAUCAUGGCUCAGAACGAACGCUGGCGGCAUGCCUAACACAUGCAAGUCGAACGAGACCUUCGGGUCUAGUGGCGCACGGGUGCGUAACGCGUGGGAAUCUGCCCUUGGGUUCGGGAUAACAGUUGGAAACGACUGCUAAUACCGGAUGAUGACUUCGGUCCAAAGAUUUAUCGCCCAGGGAUGAGCCCGCGUAGGAUUAGCUAGUUGGUGAGGUAAAGGCUCACCAAGGCGACGAUCCUUAGCUGGUCUGAGAGGAUGAUCAGCCACACUGGGACUGAGACACGGCCCAGACUCCUACGGGAGGCAGCAGUGGGGAAUAUUGGACAAUGGGCGAAAGCCUGAUCCAGCAAUGCCGCGUGAGUGAUGAAGGCCUUAGGGUUGUAAAGCUCUUUUACCCGGGAUGAUAAUGACAGUACCGGGAGAAUAAGCCCCGGCUAACUCCGUGCCAGCAGCCGCGGUAAUACGGAGGGGGCUAGCGUUGUUCGGAAUUACUGGGCGUAAAGCGUACGUAGGCGGCUUUGUAAGUUAGAGGUGAAAGCCCAGAGCUCAACUCUGGAAUUGCCUUUAAGACUGCAUCGCUUGAAUCGUGGAGAGGUUAGUGGAAUUCCGAGUGUAGAGGUGAAAUUCGUAGAUAUUCGGAAGAACACCAGUGGCGAAGGCGACUAACUGGACACGUAUUGACGCUGAGGUACGAAAGCGUGGGGAGCAAACAGGAUUAGAUACCCUAGUAGUCC
Molecule: ribosomal RNA, 742 nt
Filed under: uncultured bacterium
Lineage: Bacteria
Description: bacterial SSU rRNA
Rfam family: Bacterial small subunit ribosomal RNA
Source: RNAcentral